RNAcentral lists this ribosomal RNA (456 nucleotides) under Loma morhua. Its description in RNAcentral is "SSU rRNA". It matches the Rfam family "Microsporidia small subunit ribosomal RNA", at positions 854 to 1304 of the family's 1311-position model. The record is from RNAcentral. Lineage: Eukaryota; Fungi; Microsporidia; Glugeidae.
GGGCCCGACGACCGUAAGAGUGUGACACACGAUAGGUCGAAGAGUGGUGCAUGGCCGUUAACGACGAGUGGAGUGAUCUUUGGGUUAAGUCCGUAAAUUAGUGAGACCUCAGCCGUAAGGGACAGGUGCGCAAAGCACAGGAAGGAUGGGUCAAGGACAGGUCAGUGAUGCCCUUAGAUGGUCCGGGCUGCACGCGCACUACAGUGGUCGCCGAAAUUAGCUGAUAAUUUUAAAGGCGAUCGAGAGGGAAUGAGCUUUGUAAGAGGCUCAGGAACGAGGAAUUGCUAGUAAUCGCGGACUCAUUAAGACGCGAUGAAUACGUCCCUGUUCUUUGUACACACCGCCCGUCGUUAUCGAAGAUGAAGACAGGCGCGAACGAUCUACCAGAAAGUGAGCGCAGGUCUUUAGAUCUGAUACAAGUCGUAACAAGGUAGCUGUAGGUGAACCUGUAGCUGG